UUUUUUCCUUUCCCGGAGAAACCUGAAACGGUUUUUAAGAUUUAUAGGGGGGUUUUUUUCUAAACCGGGAAUUUGGAGGUUCAUUUGCUUGGAAACAAUUUAAGUUGGGGAAGGUUCCCCGGCCGCCCAACCAAAGGUUUUUUGGUUAAAACCUUUUAGCCCAAUAGUAAAAAAGCUAUCCCCGCCUUUAACUCAACACCUGUCCUUUCCAAGCAAAACCCCCUGUUGUUAUUGCUCAAACACCCAAACCCCAAGGGGUUGAGGGAGAAACGACGCUUCAAAACAGGCUUGCCCUUCCGGAAUACCAAGAGGCCGCCUUUGCGUUCAAAGUUUCGUUGAUUCACGAACAUUUGCAAUUUCUUAUUACGUAUCGCAUUCCGCUGCUUUUUUUAUCGAUGCAGAACCCAAAGUUCCGUUGUGAAAGUUUUGACUGUUAGUAAUUAUCUGGUUGACAAGUUGAUAAAAAAUUGGUGGUAAGUUUAGACCUCCGGCGGCCGGCUGGGCCCACCGCCAGAGCCAGUUUGUUUCAAAGAAAAACACCUGGGGUGCACUUAAGCAAAUCGGUAUUGUUCCUCUUUCCGGAAAGGGGUACUGCGGAAGGAUCAUUACUGAUUUGCUUAAUUGCACCACAUGUGUUUUUCUUUGAAACAAACUUGCUUUGGCGGUGGGCCCAGCCUGCCGCCAGAGGUCUAAACUUACAACCAAUUUUUUAUCAACUUGUCACACCAGAUUAUUACUAAUAGUCAAAACUUUCAACAACGGAUCUCUUGGUUCUCGCAUCGAUGAAGAACGCAGCGAAAUGCGAUACGUAAUAUGAAUUGCAGAUAUUCGUGAAUCAUCGAAUCUUUGAACGCACAUUGCGCCCUCUGGUAUUCCGGAGGGCAUGCCUGUUUGAGCGUCGUUUCUCCCUCAAACCGCUGGGUUUGGUGUUGAGCAAUACGACUUGGGUUUGCUUGAAAGACGGUAGUGGUAAGGCGGGAUCGCUUUGACAAUGGCUUAGGUCUAACCAAAAACAUUGCUUGCGGCGGUAACGUCCACCACGUAUAUCUUCAAACUUUGACCUCAAAUCAGGUAGGACUACCCGCUGAACUUAAGCAUAUCAAAAGCCGGGAGGAAAAAGAUCAUUACUGAUUUGCUUAAUUGCACCACACGUGGUUUUUCUUUGAAACAAACUUGCUUUGGCGGUGGGCCCAGCCUGCCGCCCGAGGUCUAAACUUACAACCAAUUUUUUAUCAACUUGUCACACCAGAAUUAUUACUAAAAAGUCAAAACUUUCAACAACGGAACUCUGGGGUUCUGCAUCGAUAAAGAACGCAGCGAAAUGCGAUACGUAAUAUGAAAUUGCAGAUAUUCGUGGAAUCAUCCAAUCUUUGAACGCACAUUGCGCCCUCUGGGUAAUUCCGGAAGGGCAUGCCUGUUUUGAAGCGUCGUUUCUCCCUCAACCCCUUGGGGUUUGGGUGGUUGGAGCAAUAACCAACCUGGUGGUUUUGCUUUGUAAAAGACGGGUUGGUGGGUUAAAGGCGGGGAAUCCCUUUUGUAAUAAUGGGGCCUUACGGUUCUUAACCAAAAAAACAUUUGGUUUGGCGGGCGGGUGAACCUUCCCCCACUUAAAAAGUUUUCCAAACCUUUUGACCCCCAAAAUCCGGGGUGAGGGAAAUAACCCCCCUUAAAACUUUAAAAACCGCUUCAUUACUUGCCGGGGAAAGAAAAAA
RNAcentral lists this ribosomal RNA (1712 nucleotides) under Candida albicans. RNAcentral describes it as "eukaryotic LSU rRNA". The stretch from base 748 to 901 matches the Rfam family "5.8S ribosomal RNA". The record is from RNAcentral. Lineage: Eukaryota; Fungi; Ascomycota; Pichiomycetes; Serinales; Debaryomycetaceae.